RNAcentral lists this ribosomal RNA (253 nucleotides) under uncultured bacterium. RNAcentral's name for it is "partial 16S ribosomal RNA". It matches the Rfam family "Bacterial small subunit ribosomal RNA", at positions 524 to 776 of the family's 1533-position model. The record is from RNAcentral.
UACGAAGGGGGCUAGCGUUGCUCGGAAUUACUGGGCGUAAAGGGCGCGUAGGCGGACAGUUUAGUCAGAGGUGAGAGCCCAGGGCCCAACCUUGGAAUUGCCUUUGAUACUGGCUGUCUUGAGUUCGGGAGAGGUGAGUGGAAUGCCGAGUGUAGAGGUGAAAUUCGUAGAUAUUCGGCGGAACACCAGUGGCGAAGGCGACUCACUGGCCCGAUACUGACGCUGAGGCGCGAAAGCGUGGGGAGCAAACAGG